Anguilla anguilla (European eel) is the source of this 1689-nucleotide long non-coding RNA. RefSeq lists it as uncharacterized. The record is from RefSeq and is a predicted model, not a curated record. The transcript has 5 exons. NCBI's taxonomy places the organism in Eukaryota, Metazoa, Chordata, Actinopteri, Anguilliformes, Anguillidae.
GGCAGUUUUGUGCGCGUUCACCUGCGUGUGGGGUUGAGCCCCACAGACACGUGUUCAAGGAGAACCAAGGAACCAAGAUGGAGCGGGGUUUGAAACUAGUUGGAGAAAUUGGUACGAAAAAGCGGAAGCCUUUUUCCCGUUUCUUCAGUUUCAAGACACGCAACUUGAUCCUUGACACAGGCCGCUUGUCUCGUGGGAUUUGCUCUGCAGGACUCGAUCCCUGUCCGAUUCUCUCCUGGUUCUUCUUCGACCACCUCUAAUCGGCGUUCCUCCGGAGCGUCUCCUUCCUCCGGCAACCGGGGGUAAGAGUAUACGCGAGAUACCCGGUUGCAGGCCUCCGCACGCCGGCUGCAUGCGGAGAGGGAGACGGGAGAAGGGUGGAGGUGCAGUGAAAAAAGGUGUGCUUUUUAAACCUUCCUGGUGGGUGGAUAAAGUUGUGUGUUCCGACGAGGUUUAGGAUGUGGACAGUGGAGCGAGCUGCAGGGGGCUUCGCAGAGAACUUCCCGAGCGGUCUCUGGAGAAAUCAGCAGACCCGGACUCUGAGCCCAGUGUGCUGGAACUCGCUGUACAGAGGCUGCGGGACGGAUGUGUUUGGGCCAACACCCCAGACACUGAUGGACGGCCUGCUGAUGCUUACGGGAUGCUUUGGGGAUGCAUUGGACAGGAUCUUUAUGGGGUGGUGAUGGAGCGUUUGAAGAAAGGCGGGCUUCCACAAUGCUAUCGCCAGUCAACAUCAGAAACCUCUGAUGAGUUCUGCCAGAGACCUGAGAGGGACAAUUACCACAUUAAAGGUCUGCAGCUAUGGAGGAACUGGAAGUACCAGCAUUCAGCCUUGGAGCAGGGCUGGGGUGCUGGACUCAACACCGACACCAUGGGAGAACCCUUCCACCAUCCCACUCUCCUUCCCACGACUCCUGCUGAGAACUCAUGUGAUACACACACAUUACAUUUUUCAAAAUUACUCCUUUAUUUAAGCAGGGUAGUCACAUUGAAAUUUACAUCUCGUUUGCAAAGCUCAAACGUGGCACUACAAGUCUCAGGAGGUUGGGUGGGUGACUGAUUGCUCAAACCAAAGUGUCGAGUUUGAAAUCAAACUUCGAAUAAUAUAGAAACACAAUAAUGUGAUUCAGAUGUACAAAUGCCGCAGCGUUAAUGGAUUCGUUCAACUGCUGAUCCGCAACUGCCAAAGCUUUAAUAAACCUUGAUUGCAUUUCCUGCUUUGCAGAAUCUGGAUUAAUGGCAUUACGAUUUUCCUUCAGUAAGCAUUUUGUCAUCUGAAAAUGACAAAUGCUAAAGGUAAAUUGAUUUUAUAUGGAGAUGGCUUUUAUUGAUCCCCUUUCAUGUAUGAGUAUCAUAAUUAUCAUAAUUAUAUCACCUCAGAUUCUUUGCUUCCUGGAUAGAAUCACAUGCACCACAGAUGCUCUAUAGAAACCAGAUUGUCAGCUCCUGCGUUCCGUCUAUCUCCCCUACGAUGUCUUGGCCGGUAACAGGAGUCCCUGGCACUGAAUUACAGUUGCAUCAUUGGAGUGGGUCUUGCCCCUUGGUGUGACAGAAAAUAGAGAAGGUGGGAUUUGCUCAUGUGUGGAUUUGAAGGUGCUUAAUGAAGCUAUUGUAGCAGACAGAUUUUUAUGUAAUUUUACAUAAGCAACUGGUCUUGUAACCUGAAGGUCACUGGAUUGAUUCCCGGGU